This 860-nucleotide ribosomal RNA is filed under the name Pseudomonas sp. 315P5BS. RNAcentral describes it as "bacterial SSU rRNA". It matches the Rfam family "Bacterial small subunit ribosomal RNA", at positions 56 to 912 of the family's 1533-position model. The record is from RNAcentral. Lineage: Bacteria; Pseudomonadati; Pseudomonadota; Gammaproteobacteria; Pseudomonadales; Pseudomonadaceae.
UGCAGUCGAGCGGUAGAGAGAAGCUUGCUUCUCUUGAGAGCGGCGGACGGGUGAGUAAUGCCUAGGAAUCUGCCUGGUAGUGGGGGAUAACGUUCGGAAACGGACGCUAAUACCGCAUACGUCCUACGGGAGAAAGCAGGGGACCUUCGGGCCUUGCGCUAUCAGAUGAGCCUAGGUCGGAUUAGCUAGUUGGUGAGGUAAUGGCUCACCAAGGCGACGAUCCGUAACUGGUCUGAGAGGAUGAUCAGUCACACUGGAACUGAGACACGGUCCAGACUCCUACGGGAGGCAGCAGUGGGGAAUAUUGGACAAUGGGCGAAAGCCUGAUCCAGCCAUGCCGCGUGUGUGAAGAAGGUCUUCGGAUUGUAAAGCACUUUAAGUUGGGAGGAAGGGCAUUAACCUAAUACGUUAGUGUUUUGACGUUACCGACAGAAUAAGCACCGGCUAACUCUGUGCCAGCAGCCGCGGUAAUACAGAGGGUGCAAGCGUUAAUCGGAAUUACUGGGCGUAAAGCGCGCGUAGGUGGUUUGUUAAGUUGGAUGUGAAAUCCCCGGGCUCAACCUGGGAACUGCAUUCAAAACUGACUGACUAGAGUAUGGUAGAGGGUGGUGGAAUUUCCUGUGUAGCGGUGAAAUGCGUAGAUAUAGGAAGGAACACCAGUGGCGAAGGCGACCACCUGGACUAAUACUGACACUGAGGUGCGAAAGCGUGGGGAGCAAACAGGAUUAGAUACCCUGGUAGUCCACGCCGUAAACGAUGUCAACUAGCCGUUGGAAGCCUUGAGCUUUUAGUGGCGCAGCUAACGCAUUAAGUUGACCGCCUGGGGAGUACGGCCGCAAGGUUAAAACUCAAAUGAAUUG